Molecule: long non-coding RNA, 303 nt
Organism: Aricia agestis (brown argus)
Lineage: Eukaryota; Metazoa; Arthropoda; Insecta; Lepidoptera; Lycaenidae
Exons: 2
Source: RefSeq, a predicted model, not a curated record
GAUGCCGCCACUCAUUGCACUGAGUCCCCGAGAGAGUCGCGAUGCGCGUUGUGUUCCUGCGCAUCGCGACACAAAGAAGACGACCGGCCUAUGCAAGCCCCCCAUGUGGGGCCUCUGUUCGGCCUAGGGGGACAAGAAACCCCAACAGUGUGGGCCUGCUUUGGGUGAGCAGGCAAGCGCGGACGGAAGUCACGGAAGACAUGUAAUAGGCCCUCGCGUCUCCUGGGUACAGCUGCGGCCACUUACCAUCUCUUCGGCCGUAGCAAGUCCCACAUACCCCGGUGGUCCUUCCCCAACGCUACC